Molecule: ribosomal RNA, 427 nt
Filed under: uncultured bacterium
Lineage: Bacteria
Description: partial 16S ribosomal RNA
Rfam family: Bacterial small subunit ribosomal RNA
Source: RNAcentral
UAGGGAAUCUUCCGCAAUGGGCGAAAGCCUGACGGAGCAACGCCGCGUGAGUGAUGAAGGUCUUCGGAUCGUAAAACUCUGUUAUUAGGGAAGAACAUAUGUGUAAGUAACUGUGCACAUCUUGACGGUACCUAAUCAGAAAGCCACGGCUAACUACGUGCCAGCAGCCGCGGUAAUACGUAGGUGGCAAGUGUUAUCCGGAAUUAUUGGGCGUAAAGCGCGCGUAGGCGGUUUUUUAAGUCUGAUGUGAAAGCCCACGGCUCAACCGUGGAGGGUCAUUGGAAACUGGAAAACUUGAGUGCAGAAGAGGAAAGUGGAAUUCCAUGUGUAGCGGUGAAAUGCGCAGAGAUAUGGAGGAACACCAGUGGCGAAGGCGACUUUCUGGUCUGUAACUGACGCUGAUGUGCGAAAGCGUGGGGAUCAAACA